RNAcentral lists this ribosomal RNA (440 nucleotides) under uncultured bacterium. RNAcentral describes it as "partial 16S ribosomal RNA". It matches the Rfam family "Bacterial small subunit ribosomal RNA", at positions 338 to 795 of the family's 1533-position model. The record is from RNAcentral.
CCUACGGGAGGCAGCAGUAGGGAAUCUUGCGCAAUGGGCGAAAGCCUGACGCAGCAACGCCGCGUGAAAGAGACGCGCUUUGGGGGGUAAAGAUCUGUCAGUGGGGACGAAACGUGACGGUACCCACAGAGGAAGCACCGGCUAACGCCGUGCCAGCAGCCGAGGCAAUACGGGGGGGGCAAGCGUUGUCCGGAAUCAUUGGGCGUAAAGGGUUCGUAGGCGGCACGUGAAGUCUGGUGUUAAAGGCAGAGGCUCAACUUCAGUACGGCACUGGAUACUUGCGAGCUAGAGUGCGGUAGAGGUAACGGGAAUUCCUGGUGUAGCGGUGAAAUGCUUAGAUAUCAGGAGGAACAUCGGUGGCGUAGGCGCUUUACUGGGCCGUAAUUGACGCUGAGGAACGAAAGCCAGGGUAGCAAAUGGGAUUAGAUACCCCAGUAGUC